UUCCCACAUAGUUUCUCACUUUAGGGCCAUUUAAAAAAAAUCAAUUCCUUAAAUUGUUAACAUAAGUAAUAAUUGUAGGUAUAUUUAUAAUAAAGGAUGGAAGCGCUGGAUGUCUCUGUCAUGACCUUCCUCAAGACCGUUGCUGGCCCCCUCGGAGUGAAUGAACCCAAAAGCGUUGUACGGAUAAUAAAUAUCAGAUCAAUGGGAUAUAUAUGUGGCCAGUUGACACUGUGUCGGCUCUUAUAUACACGAAACUUUCUAUUAUGUAGACAGCAGUCUCUCUAUGCUGUCAGCGUUCAUUGUCAGAAAGUAUACCGGCGUGUGCAUAUCGAACCCCUCCUUCUUUUUCAUCAAAACCGGGCACAGCGCUUAAACUCCCGCCAUAUUUGGUGACCGUUACCGUUAGGGCAAGAUAUGAUAACCUUUAUAAUGCUUCCAGAAACAAAGUUAACCCAAACCCCAGAGGUUGGAUAGAAAAAUGGUUCUCAUCUAUUCGUGUACUAUUUAGCAAUUGAAUAAUUCGGUCCGAAUGAAUUCAGUCUAAUCGUGUCAACGUGCACAAUUUAACCCAUUUCGUUCAAACCUACCGCCAGUCCAAUCGGUGUAAGUUUGGCUCGGCUGCUAGAAACUUGUGGCCUGCUCUCGAGGAUUGGCCGUGGAAUGAAUAUCCUCCGUAUUUCCUCGGACCGGCCUGGAUCGGCUUUGCUGUUUCCCAGCAGCACAAUCCUCCCGCUAUUGGCAGCUCUUUAAACGACGCCAUGAUGCCCAUAGACGACGUUUAUUACUCCGCGCGGGAUCUGCAUCACGGCAAAAGCUGGAGUCGUGCUCCGCUUUUCUUCUAAUUCAACCAGGUGCGACCAGUGUCUUCACGAUGGGAAUGUCGGGUGUCCCCUCGCCCUGAGGGUUACGUCGUUUUAUCGCGUGGAUGACCGUGUCACAAACCCAUAUGAAAAUUCUCAUUUAGACAGCGAGAAUUUCUACCUCAAUGUUACCCAGUGUAUCGUCGCUGACGAUGAGCCAAAUGGAAUCAACAGCACUGUUGACUAUUCCGAGC
Molecule: long non-coding RNA, 1054 nt
Organism: Daphnia pulex (common water flea)
Lineage: Eukaryota; Metazoa; Arthropoda; Branchiopoda; Diplostraca; Daphniidae
Exons: 3
Source: RefSeq, a predicted model, not a curated record